This 853-nucleotide long non-coding RNA is filed under the name Daphnia pulex (common water flea). RNAcentral describes it as "uncharacterized LOC124196426, transcript variant X2". The record is from RNAcentral. Lineage: Eukaryota; Metazoa; Arthropoda; Branchiopoda; Diplostraca; Daphniidae.
UAAGUCUUCGUUACGAAAGACAGCCGCCAUUUUUAUUCGAGCACUGAUUGAAAGCGUAUCGUUAUCCGUAUCCGUACGGCGUAUUUUCCUUCCUCACAUUUUUCUUCAUAAAAAUGCUGAUCAUGUGGCCUGAGCAGAACCUGAGCAUCUGUAAAUUUUGCCAAGAUGUCGUCUCUUUUUCCUGUACCGGCUGUUUGUAAGAAUCACUUCAGAACAAAUCAGUCUGGGAAAGUCUGAGCUUCGUCGUUGCUGCCAAUGUACACAUGGAUUUAAUGCAGCCAGGUGUUCCUCUUGCUACCUGUACUGCUGUGUGUUUCGUCAAAUGAAGAAAAAUGAACAACUGAAGUUUAUCGUGUUUGUUCGCGUUGUUGCUGUCCGCUGUGGUACGUUGUUUCAGCCUCUGCUGGUGAUAGAUCUUUCUGCAUCAAAUUCAAUUAGCCGUUCCUUGGUGCUGGACUGCUGGUGUCGUGUUACCGAAAUUGUAUCAUUAUUUUGUUAAAUUGUCAUCGUGACUGCAGUUUACCGUUAAGAAGUUAAGAAGCAACAAAAACAAAUAUGGGAUAUUUAUGUCAACAAAUAAUAAACAUGUUUUCGGGAUUGGGAAAGGAAAGUGGAGGAUGUUGGAGAGGGGGAGGAUAUUUCAAGUUUGGAUAAAAAAUCUGUUAAUCUAUAACCCUACAAAUGUUGCCCUACCAAUUAAUCUCCAAACCCCACAAACAUAUACCUUCCAAUCCUUCAAACCCCGAAAACAUACACCACUAACCCUUAAAUUUAUACCCUUAACCCUAUAAACCAAUGUUAAACCUUAACCAUGUAAUAUCUGUAAUAAAUAAAAAUAAAUAUAUUAUAUGAA